ACUCAUUUUGCCCAAAGCAAAGUGUGUAUGUGGGAGGAGAGUCAACCUGUUUUCAUUUGUUGUUGGUAAUCCUCCUUCUAACACCUUUUGCCUAAAGCAAAGUGUGUGAGUAAGGAGGAAUACACGUCUGUGUUUAGUUGUUUUCUUUGUUUUUUCAGUCUGGUUCACAUGAAGGAUGUACACAUCGAGCGCAAUAGAGUCAGAUUCACCACCCCUAAGUAGCGUGUUACUUCUGUUGCAGUCACUCAACCAUUUUCCUAGCGACUAAUAACAAAGAGAAGACAGAUGGCCCAACUACUCUGAGUGUUAAUGAAGAGGCCCGUUUGGGCAUAAUAGAAGAUGUUGUGAUGAAGACAAGGAACACACUUUUUGCCUACUUUGCACGCGCUGAAUUCAGUUGAUGAAGAUGGAUAAGAUUGUGGAUACAAUCACAAGGUUUUUUAGCUUAAACUGAUGCAAUAAACCUCGACUAAAGGUUACUCGUUGGUGAUGAUUGUCGUUAAUCAAGUUGUGGACCUCCAGUGGUGAAUUUCAAACUCAAAUGCUAACUAACAAAGGCCGUAGAAGAAUAGUUGCAAUCGUCCCCAAUGAGAUACCAAGCGGUGCGACCCCCUGUGUGUGAACAGUGAGGUCUCGGGACCCCGAAUCAUAUUAAGUGUUAAAAAAAAUUCAAUAUAAAUAAUAAACAAAUAUUCAUACCCUUUUUUUUCCUGAAUAAAUAGAUAGUGGAAUCACACUGUUAUUUGGCUAAGCUGCCAAAAGUGGAUAUAUAUAUCAAAUAUAAGGAAGAAGGCGUGGCACUUAAGACUUGAGAGUUCAAAUGGUCAA
Long non-coding RNA from Salvia miltiorrhiza (redroot sage), 828 nucleotides. RefSeq lists it as uncharacterized. The record is from RefSeq and is a predicted model, not a curated record. Lineage: Eukaryota; Viridiplantae; Streptophyta; Magnoliopsida; Lamiales; Lamiaceae. The transcript has 2 exons.